UUUGGAUCCAAAAUGAUGGAA
RNAcentral lists this non-coding RNA (21 nucleotides) under Caenorhabditis elegans. Lineage: Eukaryota; Metazoa; Nematoda; Chromadorea; Rhabditida; Rhabditidae. The record is from RNAcentral.